AACAGAAGGCAUUUUGAAUUUAUCUUCAGCUUUUUCAUCUAUAAUUAGAUUUCUUUUUAUUAGUGUAGGUAUCUACUUCUAUUUAUUUUAAUGCUGUAUCUUUUGCUCUAUAUUUGAAAUAUUAGAAUGGUGCACAGCCUGCGACUAGUGAGCCAGAUGUAGCCUGCAGACUGUUGAUAUGCAACAAGGGAAAGCUUCUAAACACUAUAAAUCCAUUGAAGAGGACAUUAUAGGAGCCAAUAAACUGACAGCAUGGACAGAAGGGUGUUAGAAUUAGCAGGAAGUAAGUAAAGUACUUAACUACCUUAAGUAUUUAGUUUAAAAUUAUGUGUUAAUCAAGGUUUUGAUCACGCCAUCUAGUAUUUGUGUUCAAGGGAUGAUUGUUUUUAAUGAGGGGUUGCUUUGCUUAAGGAAACUUUAAACAAAAUUAUGUUGUGAAAAAAGAAAAUUCUAAGAUUUGUUUCCCCCGUUUUUUUUCUUUCUGUGAUUGAUAGCAACCUUUUCAUU
Molecule: non-coding RNA, 507 nt
Organism: Parasteatoda tepidariorum (common house spider)
Lineage: Eukaryota; Metazoa; Arthropoda; Arachnida; Araneae; Theridiidae
Source: RefSeq, a predicted model, not a curated record